Molecule: long non-coding RNA, 466 nt
Organism: Pezoporus occidentalis (night parrot)
Lineage: Eukaryota; Metazoa; Chordata; Aves; Psittaciformes; Psittacidae
Exons: 2
Source: RefSeq, a predicted model, not a curated record
GGCCCCCGGAGGCAGCCCGCCCGCCCCCGGGGCUGGCCGCGGGCAUCCGGCGGGGUGCUCCGGUUCUCCGAGCCCUCCAAUCCUCGGGGUGCUUCGUUCCAAGGUGGAAGGAUCCCCCGUCCUGCGGGUUGGUGUGUCCAUGGGGUCACCUGCACUGAGGAUGCUCCGUUUGGCAACUCACAAAGUCAUCAACUCAUCUGUGCUUGCUGCUUCCCUUCAAUGCAAAUGGAAGAUGUUGAGCCAGAUCUGCUGAGACCUCAUGGCUGGGGCUUUGUAUGCAAGAGACAGCUCAGAGAACUAUUUGAACUGCAGAGGAUCUUGCAUGUGUUGGAAAAAGAGACAUCACAGACUCUUCUGGUGGGGACCUAGGUCACGCAUGCUUCUGCCUUGAGGUAGAGCAGCCAUUUCAAGUCAUUCCUGUGCCUGCCUGUGUUUUUCCAGGCACUAAGGUGUGGGUUAACCUGUC